This 486-nucleotide ribosomal RNA is filed under the name uncultured bacterium. Its description in RNAcentral is "bacterial SSU rRNA". It matches the Rfam family "Bacterial small subunit ribosomal RNA", at positions 28 to 516 of the family's 1533-position model. The record is from RNAcentral.
GACGAACGCUGGCGGCGUGCUUAACACAUGCAAGUCGAACGGAACUUAUCGGAUCAAGACUUCGGUCAAGUGAAUUUAAGUUUAGUGGCGGACGGGUGAGUAACGCGUGAGCAAUCUGCCUUUCAGAGGGGGACACCAGUUGGAAACGACUGUUAAUACCGCAUAACAUAUCGAGAUCGCAUGAUAUUGAUAUCAAAGAUUUAUCGCUGAAAGAUGAGCUCGCGUCUGAUUAGAUAGUUGGUGAGGUAACGGCUCACCAAGUCGAUGAUCAGUAGCCGAACUGAGAGGUUGAUCGGCCACAUUGGGACUGAGACACGGCCCAGACUCCUACGGGAGCAGCAGUGGGGGAUAUUGCGCAAUGGGGGCAACCCUGACGCAGCAACGCCGCGUGAAGGAAGAAGGUUUUCGGAUCGUAAACUUCUUUAAGUGGGGAAGAUAGUGACGGUACCCACAGAAUAAGCCACGGCUAACUACGUGCCAGCAGCC